CCUACGGGGGGCAGCAGUCGAGAAUCAUUCACAAUGGGGGAAACCCUGAUGGGGCGACGCCGCGUGGGGGAAUGAAGGUCUGCGGAUUGUAAACCCCUGUCAUGGGGGAGCAAAUUAAAAAGAUAGUACAACAAGAGGAAGAGACGGCUAACGCUGUGCCAGCAGCCGCGGUAAUACAGAGGUCUCAAGCGUUGUUCGGAAUCACUGGGCGUAAAGAGUGCGUAGGCUGUUUCGUAAGUCGUGUGUGAAAGGCGCGGGCUCACCCCGCGGACGGCCCCUGAUACUGUGAGACUAGAGUACUGGAGGGGGAACCGCACUUCUCGGUGUAGCCGUGCACUGCGUAGAUAUC
RNAcentral lists this ribosomal RNA (349 nucleotides) under uncultured bacterium. Its description in RNAcentral is "partial 16S ribosomal RNA". It matches the Rfam family "Bacterial small subunit ribosomal RNA", at positions 338 to 698 of the family's 1533-position model. The record is from RNAcentral.